GAUGAACGCUGGCGGCGUGCCUAAUACAUGCAAGUCGAGCGAACAGACCAUGAUCUUGCUCCGUUGACGUUAGCGGCGGACGUGUGAGUAACACGUGUAUCACCUACUUGUAUUUCGGGUAUCACUUCGGGAAACCGGAGCUAAUACCAUAGCAUAUAUUGAACCGCAUGGGUGAUUGGUAAAUUACGGCUUUGGGGGAUGGUAUAGCUGGUUCCGCGCCGGAUUGUCGAGUUGGUAGGUUAACAGGCUACCACGGGAACGCGGCGUAGCCGAGGGGUGGGGGUGAUCGGCCACACUGGAACGGAGACACGGUCCAGAGUACUACGGGAGGCAGCAGUCGGGAAUGUUCCGCAAUGGGCGAAAACUUGACGCAGCAACGCCGCGUGAGUGACGACGGCCUUCGGAUCGUAAAACCCUGUUAUUAGGGAAGAACAGCUGUCUCCGUAACUAUGCACGUCUUGACGGUAACUAAUCAAAAAGCAACGGCUAACUACGUG
RNAcentral lists this ribosomal RNA (497 nucleotides) under uncultured bacterium. RNAcentral describes it as "partial 16S ribosomal RNA". It matches the Rfam family "Bacterial small subunit ribosomal RNA", at positions 28 to 507 of the family's 1533-position model. The record is from RNAcentral.